AGGCGAUCAGUUGGUAGCAGUCCUAGGUACUGAUUGGCUCUAGCGGUACAUGUGACAACGGUCCUCAUCUGCAUAUGGACAGGUACGCUAUGGUGAGCGUGGUGGAAAUGACACCGUGAAUGGAGUUUUAAAGAUAAUCGAGAAAUCUCCUAAAUAGCCCUAGGACAUUGCUAGUCUACACCAAGAGGACUACUGUUUCAUACCGCCCAUUGACUUCGGAAAAUAGCUCAUUGUAAUCAGUAGAGACAGGCACCCCUCACUGUCAGUCUGGCUGCUGUGUCCCCAUUGGUCCAGAUGUGAGAGCAGAGACCAGCAGUGUCACCUCUAACCCUCAGGGCCCGUCGUCAUGAAAAUGGUGUUGUGGUUACCAAGGCCGUCGUGGGGGUUGUGGUCUGUGUUAGUCCCAGGUCUGGCCCUAUUGCUGUGUCUGGCCCUGGCCCUGAUGGGCUGUGUGAUCAGGAAGAAGAGAAGGAUGGAGGGAAUGUAUCGGCCCAGUGCGGAGGAGAGCAAACAGACAAGACCACGGGGGGCAGAGAGACCAGGCCUGCCCCUGCCCAAGGAGGAGAGACUCAUCUGAUACACACACACACACACACACACACACACACACACACACACACACACACACACACACACACACACACACACACACACACACACACACACACACAUAAACUCUCUCUUUUCCUCCCUCUCUCUGUCACUACCAUUGCCUCCCUCUCCUCUACCCUGUACAUGAAGCCAGAAUGGGUUAUUGGUAACAAUGUUUUGUAUGUAUUGUGUAAAGGUAUCUGUAUAUGAAGUGUCUUGUUAAAUAUGGCAGAACAUGCCUGGUGGAUGUUCCAUGUUCUCUCCAGUUUCUCCAACUGUGCUGAUGUUGUCAUCCGUGUGUCAACAGGUGAAUGCCCCGUCAGGGGUGUGUUGUUUACCUGUAGGUGGACUAGUUGUUGGCAUGUUUACCUGUCGGUGGACUAGUUGUUGACAUGUUUACCUGUCGGUGGACUAGUUGUUGGCAUGUUUACCUGUCGGUGGACUAGUUGUUGGCAUGUUUACCUGUAGGUGGACUAGUUGUUGGCAUGUUUACCUGUAGGUGGACUAGUUGUUGGCAUGUUUACCUGUAGGUGGACUAGUUGUUGACAUGUUUACCUGUAGGUGGACUAGUUGUUGAUUUGGUCAGUCAUGCAGAGAAAAGGGAAUUUAAAACUUCCUCUAUAUGCAAAACGUCUCUCUUUAUUAUGGCAGUUAUACUGUUACAUGUAUACAAACCAUGAUUUAAGUUUAUCCCUUGUAUAAAACAUUAGUGUGUGUUUUUAUAUCUUGAAAAUGAAGAGAAUGGUGAGUAAGACACUAUGAAUGAUUUCUAAUGCACUUCUGAUGAUAUUAUCCAUGUGAAAAAAAUAAAACUCCUCUCAAAAAGUAUAAAACA
Salmo salar (Atlantic salmon) is the source of this 1426-nucleotide long non-coding RNA. RefSeq lists it as uncharacterized. The record is from RefSeq and is a predicted model, not a curated record. NCBI's taxonomy places the organism in Eukaryota, Metazoa, Chordata, Actinopteri, Salmoniformes, Salmonidae.